UGGGGGAUAUUGCACAAUGGGGGGAACCCGUGAUGAAGCGACGCCGCGUGGGUGAAGAAGCGCCUCGGCGCGUAAAGCCCUGUCAGCAGGGAAGAAAAUGACGGUACCUGAAGAAGAAGCCCCGGCUAACUACGUGCC
RNAcentral lists this ribosomal RNA (138 nucleotides) under uncultured bacterium. RNAcentral's name for it is "partial 16S ribosomal RNA". It matches the Rfam family "Bacterial small subunit ribosomal RNA", at positions 355 to 509 of the family's 1533-position model. The record is from RNAcentral.